RNAcentral lists this unclassified non-coding RNA (194 nucleotides) under Volvariella pusilla. RNAcentral describes it as "partial internal transcribed spacer 2". Lineage: Eukaryota; Fungi; Basidiomycota; Agaricomycetes; Agaricales; Pluteaceae. The record is from RNAcentral.
AAUCCUCAAGGCCCUACCGGUUUUUUGCCGGCUUGGGUUCCUUGGAUGUGGGAGUGCUGCGGGGCCUGCCUCUUUGGCUCCGCUCUCCUGAAAUGCAUCAGUAGGGCCUCGUCCUCUCGGGUCUUCGCGGCGUUGAUAAUUGUCUACGCCUCGCCCGUCGGGCUUCACCUGCUUCCCAACCCUUCAUCAGAACA